RNAcentral lists this unclassified non-coding RNA (340 nucleotides) under uncultured fungus. Its description in RNAcentral is "partial contains 5.8S ribosomal RNA and internal transcribed spacer 2". The stretch from base 1 to 133 matches the Rfam family "5.8S ribosomal RNA", at positions 22 to 154 of the family's 154-position model. Lineage: Eukaryota; Fungi. The record is from RNAcentral.
UGGUUCCGGCAUCGAUGAAGAACGCAGCGAAAUGCGAUAAGUAUUGUGAAUUGCAGAAUUCAGUGAAUCAUCGAAUCUUUGAACGCACAUUGCGCCCCUUGGUACUCCGAGGGGCAUACCUGUCCGAGCGUCAUUGCACCUCUCAAGCUCCGCUUGGUCUUGGGACCCGCCCCUUCCCCGGGGUGGCCCCGAAAAGCAGUGGCGGUCCGGUGAGACUUCAAGCGUAUGGAAUAUGACCGGGAAACGGUCGUUCGUUUGGAACGCUCGAGCCGCGACCCCGCCAGAUCAACCCCUCAAAAUCUUUCAGGUUGACCUCGGAUCAGGUAGGGAUACCCGCUGA